Phrynosoma platyrhinos (Desert horned lizard) is the source of this 72-nucleotide non-coding RNA. The record is from the annotation of a GenBank genome assembly. Lineage: Eukaryota; Metazoa; Chordata; Lepidosauria; Squamata; Phrynosomatidae.
AGUGGGGUGGCAUAGUGGUUUGAAUGUCGGACUACGACUCUGGAGACCAGGGUUCAAUUCUCCGCUUGGCUA